Molecule: ribosomal RNA, 420 nt
Filed under: uncultured Hyphomicrobiales bacterium
Lineage: Bacteria; Pseudomonadati; Pseudomonadota; Alphaproteobacteria; Hyphomicrobiales
Description: bacterial SSU rRNA
Rfam family: Bacterial small subunit ribosomal RNA
Source: RNAcentral
GAACGCUGGCGGCACGCUUAACACAUGCAAGUCGAACGAGAUCUUCGGAUCUAGUGGCAGACGGGUGAGUAACGCGUGGGAACCUGCCCUUUAGUAGAGAAUAACUCGGGGAAACUCGAGCUAAUACUUUAUACGCCCUUCGGGGGAAAGCUUUAUGCGCUAUUGGAUGGGCCCGCGUUAGAUUAGUUUGUUGGUGAGGUAACGGCUCACCAAGGCUACGAUCUAUAGCUGGUCUGAGAGGAUGAUCAGCCACACUGGGACUGAGACACGGCCCAGACUCCUACGGGAGGCAGCAGUGGGGAAUAUUGGACAAUGGGGGCAACCCUGAUCCAGCGAUGCCGCGUGAGUGAUGAAGGCCCUAGGGUUGUAAAGCUCUUUUGUCAGGGAAGAUAAUGACGGUACCUGAAGAAUAAGAUCCGG